RNAcentral lists this ribosomal RNA (301 nucleotides) under uncultured bacterium. Its description in RNAcentral is "partial 16S ribosomal RNA". It matches the Rfam family "Bacterial small subunit ribosomal RNA", at positions 509 to 807 of the family's 1533-position model. The record is from RNAcentral.
CAGUAGCCACGGUAAUACAGAGGGUGCGAGCGUUAAUCGGAUUUACUGGGCGUAAAGCGUGCGUAGGCGGCUUUUUAAGUCGGAUGUGAAAUCCCCGAGCUUAACUUGGGAAUUGCAUUCGAUACUGGGAAGCUAGAGUAUGGGAGAGGAUGGUAGAAAUCCAGGUGUAGCGGUGAAAUGCGUAGAGAUCUGGAGGAAUACCGAUGGCGAAGACAGCCAUCUGGCCUAAUACUGACGCUGAGGUACGAAAGCAUGGGGAGCAAACAGGAUUAGAUACCCCCGUAGUCCCUGUCUCUUAUAC